RNAcentral lists this ribosomal RNA (224 nucleotides) under uncultured bacterium. RNAcentral describes it as "partial 16S ribosomal RNA". It matches the Rfam family "Bacterial small subunit ribosomal RNA", at positions 15 to 230 of the family's 1533-position model. The record is from RNAcentral.
GAUCAUGGCUCCGGAUGAACGCUAGCUACAGGCUUAAUACAUGCAAGUCGAGGGGCAGCAUGGUCUUAGCUUGCUAAGGCCGAUGGCGACCGGCGCACGGGUGAGUAACACGUAUCCAACCUGCCGUCUACUCUUGGACAGCCUUCUGAAAGGAAGAUUAAUACAAGAUGGCAUCAUGAGUCCGCAUGUUCACAUGAUUAAAGGUAUUCCGGUAGACGAUGGGG